This 776-nucleotide ribosomal RNA is filed under the name uncultured bacterium. RNAcentral's name for it is "bacterial SSU rRNA". It matches the Rfam family "Bacterial small subunit ribosomal RNA", at positions 54 to 813 of the family's 1533-position model. The record is from RNAcentral.
CAUGCAAGUCAACGAGAAUUUAUCUUCGGAUAAUAGUAAAGUGGCGAACGGGUGAGUAACGCGUAAAUAACUUGCCUUGGAGAUUGGGACAACAUUGGGAAACCAGUGCUAAUACCAAAUAAUGCAGCGGGCCCUUCGGGGCAUAGUUGUUAAAGUAGGCUUCGGCUUACACUUCAAGAUAGAUUUGCGUCCGAUUAGUUAGUUGGUAGGGUAAUAGCCUACCAAGACCGAGAUCGGUAGCUGGUCUGAGAGGAUGAUCAGCCACACUGGAAUUGAGAUACGGUCCAGACUCCUACGGGAGGCAGCAGUGAGGAAUUUUGCACAAUGGGCGAAAGCCUGAUGCAGCAACACCGCGUGAUUGAUGAAGUUUUUAGGAAUGUAAAAAUCUGUCGUAAGGGAAGAAAUGUUUCGGAUGUUAAUACCAUCUGUUACUGACGGUACCUUACAAGAAAGGACCGGCUAACUUCGUGCCAGCAGCCGCGGUAAUACGAGGGGUCCUAGCGUUGUCCGGAUUUACUGGGCGUAAAGGGUACGUAGGCGUUUUAAUAAGUUGUAUGUUAAAUAUCUUAGCUUAACUAAGAAAGUGCAUACAAAACUGUUAAGAUAGAGUUUGAGAGAGGAACGCAGAAUUCAUGGUGGAGCGGUGACAUGCGUAGAUAUCAUGAGGAAAGUCAAAUGCGAAGGCAGCCUUCUGGCUCAAAACUGACGCUGAGGUACGAAAGCGUGGGGAGCGAACAGGAUUAGAUACCCUGGUAGUCCACGCCGUAAACGAUGAG